This 3260-nucleotide ribosomal RNA is filed under the name Trichinella nelsoni. RNAcentral describes it as "eukaryotic LSU rRNA". It matches the Rfam family "Eukaryotic large subunit ribosomal RNA", at positions 434 to 3401 of the family's 3401-position model. Lineage: Eukaryota; Metazoa; Nematoda; Enoplea; Trichinellida; Trichinellidae. The record is from RNAcentral.
UGGCACAUCUGCAAAAAUGAAUAACCUUCAGGACAUUGUUUGAGCAAAGCCUCGCUGAGCGGUUUGUUCAGGCAGUAGGUGAUGUAAAUUUGAAAGUGAUCAGUGUGGUCGAGAAACGUUCUGGCGAUAUUUCUGACGUUACUUUCGGCGUUUCAGAGCCGGCAGAAAUAUUUCACUGUGGAAAUUGUAAAUUUGGUGCAAAUUCCCGAACAGCACUUUCUGCUUGGACAGCAGAUUGUUGGGAACGUGACGGCGCAGUGUGGUGCCGUUGAAUAGUCGCACUGUUCUCUCUUUCUCUUCGGGGUUGGAGGAACAAUUGUCGAUCAGUCGGUUUCGGAGCGUGCACACUGGUACCCGAAAGAUGGUGAACUAUGCUUGAGCAGAAUGAAGCCAGAGGAAACUCUGGUGGAAGUUCGUAGCGGUGUUGACGUGCAAAUCACUCGUCUGACUUGAGUGUAGGGGCGAAAGACUAAUCGAACCAUCUAGUUGCUGGUUCCUUCCGAAGUUUCCCUCAGGAUAGCUGGCAUUUGUUUGUAACAAUUUUAUCCGGUAGAGCGAAUGAUUAGAGGUGUUGGGAACGCAAUGUUCUCAGCCUAUUCUCAAACUUCGAAUGGGUAAGCAAGGCGUUUUGCUUUGAUUUUACGAUGAAAUCGCCCAAUUAGAAGAAUGUAUAAAUGCCUAGUGGGCCAAUUUUGGUAAGCAGAACUGGCGAUGUGGAAUGAACCAAAAGUCAGGUUAAGGUGCCAGACAUUGGCGCUCAUGAAAUACCAGAAAAGGUGUUGGUCGAUAUAGACAGCAGGACGGUGGCCAUGGAAGUUGGAAUCCGCCAAGGAGUGUGUAACAACUCACCUGCCGAAUCGACUAGCCCUGAAAAUGGAUAGCGUUUGAGCUCCAGGCCCAUACCUGACCGUCUCAAUUACGCACCCUUUUUUCGGAAAAGGUGUAAUGCACGUUGAGACGGGUAGGAAGGUCGCGACAGUGUUGCUUUGAAGAGUUUUGAGCGUGAGCUCGCUCGGAGCCGCUGUCGGUGCAGAUCUUGGUGGUAGUAGCAAAUAUUCAAGUGAGAACCUUGAAGGCUGAAGUGGAGCAAGGUUCCAUGUGAACAGCAGUUGGACAUGGGUCAGUCGAUCCUAAGAAAACGGCGAAAGCUUUUUCGAAUUUGCGACAUGAAUUGUAAGACUGUGAAUAAUUGUGUGCGUGUGUUUGCCAAUUAUUAAUUGUUGUGCGCAGUUGUCGUAUGUUUUCGAAAGGGAAUCCGGUUGAUAUUCCGGAACCGAGUAACGGAGACAAAGAGUAGCGCUUUAAUCUCUCUCUCUCUGUGGGGUUGGCGUUCAACUCAAUCGCGCGGUAACGCGAGCGAACUCGGAAAAUGACCGUCGUGAGUUUCGAAAAGAGUUUUCUUUUCUUUUUAAGGGACGCAUUCCCUGGAACCGGGUUGUCCGGAGAUAGGGAUUUUGGUAUCCAUAAAACGCCGACUUUUUCACGGUGUUCGGAGCGCUCUCGUCGGUACGUGAAAAUCCGAGCGACGCCUGGUAAAUCUCGUACUUGGUCGUACUGAUAUCCGCAGCAGGUCUCCAAGGUGAAUAGCCUCUGGCCGAUAGAAUAAUGUAGGUAAGGGAAGUCGGCAAAACGGAUCCGUAACUUCGGAACAAGGAUUGGCUCUAAGGGCUGGGCCGAUCGGGCUGAGGUUUCAAGCGUGCAGUGUAUGCUUGGCUUAGUUGUGUUGAGGACUUGUUCACUUGCCACCGUUUGUUCGGUUGGUCGAGUGUAUUCGAGUCUGAAGCAGAGCUGGCCGUCAGACCGGCACGUGUAGAACCUGAGCUGCGCGGCUGUCCGUUUUCGUGUACAGACCGUUUCGGUCGGCAUUCAACAGCCAACUUAGAACUGGCACGGACACAAGGAAUCUGACUGUAUAAUUAAAACAAAGCAUUGCGAUGGCCGAUGAUCGGUGAUGACGCAAUGUGAUUUCUGCCCAGUGCUCUGAAUGUCAAAGUGAAGAAAUUCAAUCAAGCGCGGGUAAACGGCGGGAGUAACUAUGACUCUCUUAAGGUAGCCAAAUGCCUCGUCAUCUAAUUAGUGACGCGUAUGAAUGGAUCAACAAGAUUCCUUCUGUCCCUAUCUACUAUCUAGCGAAACCACAGCCAAGGGAACGGGCUUGGCAAAAUCAGCGGGGAAAGAAGACCCUGUUGAGCUUGACUCUAGUCUGACUCUGUGAAGAGACAUGAAAGGUGUAGCAUAGGUGGGAGAUUGUCAAUUUGCCAUCGUUCGCGCGAUGGUCCCGGUGAUCGCCAAUGAAAUACCACUACUUUGAUCGUUUCUUUACUUAUUCGGUAAAGCGAAAAAAUUGUGGCCAAUUUGGCGGUGUUUAUGUCGCUGUUGGUCAUUGUUUUCAUGUUGGAUUGAAGCUUUGUUUUGAGCCGUCGCUUUGUGUCUUCAUUUGACGCAUUGUUGGCUGGGUUAGUAGCCCAGUGUGUGAUGUUGUCAGAAUGGAUGAUCGGCGAUAGGUUUGAAGUGAUUCGCUCCGGAAACAGUGUCAGACGGGGAGUUUGACUGGGGCGGUACAUCUGUAAAACGAUAACGCAGGUGUCCUAAGGUAAGCUCAGCGAGGACAGAAACCUCGCCUAGAGUAAACGGGCACAAGCUUACUUGAUUUUGAUUUUCAGUAUGAAUAGAAACCGCGAAAGCGUGGCCUAUCGAUCCUUUUGAUUGUGUAGAUUUCAUGCAAGAGGUGUCAGAAAAGUUACCACAGGGAUAACUGGCUUGUGGCAGCCAAGCGUCCAUAGCGACGUUGCUUUUUGAUCCUUCGAUGUCGGCUCUUCCUAUCAUUGCGAAGCAGAAUUCGCCAAGCGUUGGAUUGUUCACCCACCAAUAGGGAACGUGAGCUGGGAUUAGACCGUCGUGAGACAGGUUAGUUUUACCCUACUGAUGACAAGUCGUUGCGAUAGUAAUCCUGCUCAGUACGAGAGGAACCGCGGGAUCAGACAUUUGGUUCAUGCGCUCGGCUGAAAGGCCGGUGGCGCGAAGCUAGCAUCUGCAAGAUUAUGACUGAACGCCUCUAAGUCAGAAUCUUUUCUAGUCAUUGGCAACGAUAAGUUGCGUCCAGACUCGAUGCGAGGAAACGAUUAGGCUUUGUUGCUAUACAACGAAGCCAUUAUCAGACCACGGUAGCAGGCAGUAUGGGAUUGUUACGAAAAAGCAAUUUUUUGAAGUCAGUUGAAUUCAAUGAAACUGCUAACAAUUUCACUGCGAAUGACUCCAUU